RNA transcript from Ananas comosus (pineapple), 1594 nucleotides. It is a transcript of the gene named histone-lysine N-methyltransferase ASHH3-like, with no coding region annotated. The record is from RefSeq and is a predicted model, not a curated record. The transcript has 13 exons. Lineage: Eukaryota; Viridiplantae; Streptophyta; Magnoliopsida; Poales; Bromeliaceae.
CGACCAAAAAAAAAAAAAAAUCGCCACAAAAUCGGGAAAAAAAAACCCCUCCCUUUCCCUCCCCCUUGUCGCAAUCAAACCCUUCGACCUUUCCCGCUCUCCAUCGCCAACCCUAAAUCCACCGAAUCCACAUGCCCGGGUCCAAGAUCAAGAGGCAUAAACAAUGUAGUAUUCAACAAAUUUUUGAACAAAUGCUCAAUGAGCUUAGUGGCCCGGUUGAUUUUGAUCUUCCCUGCUCGCUGAAAGAAUGGAAGUCUACACAUUACGUACCCAUAAAGCGUAAUAUCUAUCUAACUAAAAGACGAAUUGAGGAUGAUGGCAUAUUCUGUUCCUGCACUUCAUCGAAAUCAACAAAUGGCUGUGAUGAAGAUUGUCAUUGUGGGAUGCUGUUCUCUACUUGUUCAUCUAGUUGCAAAUGCAGCAGUAACUGUGCCAAUAAACCAUUCCAGUACAGAGCUCCAAAGAAAAUGACGGUGGUGAAGACAGAGAAAUGUGGUUUUGGCUUGGUAGCAGAUGAAGGGAUAAAACAGGGUGAUUUUGUUAUAGAGUAUGUGGGAGAAGUAAUUGAUGAUAAAACUUGUGAGGAAAGACUCUGGAAUAUGAAGGGCCGUGGAAAUACCAACUUCUAUCUAUGUGAGGUCAGUCAUGAUAUGGUAAUUGAUGCAACAAAUAAAGGAAACAAGUCGAGAUUUAUAAAUCACAGUUGUGAGCCAAAUACUGAGAUGCAGAAAUGGAGAGUUUGUGGAGAAACUAGAGUUGGCAUCUUUGCUCUUCGAGACAUACAAAGAGGCGAGGAAGUGACCUACGAUUAUAAAUUUGUCCAGUUUGGAGCUGAUCAAAAUUGUUAUUGUGGAACUCUGAGCUGCCAGAAAAAGCUAGGCAACAAGCCCAGAGGUUCACAUCAAGCGCUUCUCGAUAAAAGAAAAACCCACUUUUCGAACUGUAUCGGGGAGCUUGUGCGUGUGUGGCAGCCGCGGGAUAAGAUGUACCUCGCUGGAUAUAUUUACGACUUCGAUAGCUACUCUAGAAAACAUACUAUAAUGUAUGUUGAUAGAAGUUCUGAGAUUAUUGAUCUAUCAAAGGAGGAUUGGGACUUCCUACCAUUAUGACUGGACUUAUGAGUGUUCUAAGUGGUGCUUCAGUGUAAUAGUAGCUCACAUUUCUCCAUUAUUAUCCUAACAGAAGUCAUAGCUCUGAGUCUGAGGAGAGCUAAGAAGUUUCUACUCAACCAAAGCCGACCACUCCCUGCUGAAAAGAUAAGAAAAAAACAACACCGAAAGAAGAGGGCGUAGAGAGAGAGAGAGAGAGAGAUGGGCAUUUGGCGUUAUGUGGCGUGGCCCAUGGAGGAAAGGAAGGUGCAGGAGGGGCCAUUGUAAUUGUUGCUGUUGUUGUUGUUGUUGUUGUUGUUGUUGUUGUUGUGGUGGUGGUGGUGGUGGUGGUGGUGGAGGGCCCCGCGCACGCGUGGGAGUUUCGCACGGGUGCGUGGGAAGAGUAGGAACCCUUUCAAAUUUGAGACCAGCAGUCCCUACCCCACAUCCCUAAGCUCAAAUGAAAAAUCUUUCUAUCACAGUUAUUUAUACAUUGUGCCAUGCAA